Anthonomus grandis grandis is the source of this 558-nucleotide long non-coding RNA. RefSeq lists it as uncharacterized. The transcript has 2 exons. Lineage: Eukaryota; Metazoa; Arthropoda; Insecta; Coleoptera; Curculionidae. The record is from RefSeq and is a predicted model, not a curated record.
AUAUGAAGUAUAAAUAUUGCUAUAGUUACUUACAAGGUAUCAGUGUAUACAUCAAGAUCGAACUAAACAAACCUUAACGGCAUAAAAUAUGAAAUCUUUUGCAAUAUUUAUCGUCCUUUUUGCGUUCAUCGUUCUAAGUUUAGCUGGUGGACAUGAUGAUGAUUACUAUAGGAGUUCUCAUGACGACUCUAAAAAGGUGGUCUACGUAGAAAAGCAAUCCGGAUACCACCGGCCCAGUUACAAAAUUAUAGAAAAAGAACCAGAAUACAAGAAGGUAGUUUAUAAAUAUGUAAAGCCAGAGGAAAAGAAGGUUCAAGUUAAUGUUAAAGUGAUCAAACAAAAAGAACAGGAUGAUGAUGUUGCGUACAAAUACAUUGAGAAGAAGUACCAUCAUUAAUACUUUUAUUAGAUUUGAUUGCAAUCUUAUUAAAUAAAUAUGUUUAAAAGGUUUAAAUAAAUUAAAUUAUUAUUACAUUUUGGAGAUGAUAAAGUUUUACAGAUUUGUUACUAUAUUUGUAUCUAAAUUUCUAAUAAAAGCAUGUUUUGCCUAAAUCCAAA